RNAcentral lists this ribosomal RNA (393 nucleotides) under uncultured bacterium. Its description in RNAcentral is "partial 16S ribosomal RNA". It matches the Rfam family "Bacterial small subunit ribosomal RNA", at positions 523 to 918 of the family's 1533-position model. The record is from RNAcentral.
AUACGGAGGAUCCGAGCGUUAUCCGGAUUUAUUGGGUUUAAAGGGAGCGUAGGUGGAUUGUUAAGUCAGUUGUGAAAGUUUGCGGCUCAACCGUAAAAUUGCAGUUGAAACUGGCAGUCUUGAGUACAGUAGAGGUGGGCGGAAUUCGCGGUGUAGCGGUGAAAUGCUUAGAUAUCACGAAGAACUCCGAUUGCGAAGGCAGCUCACUAGACUGUUACUGACAAUGAUGCUCGAAAGUGUGGGUAUCAAACAGGAUUAGAUACCCUGGUAGUCCACACAGUAAACGAUGAAUACUCGCUGUUUGCGAUAUACAGUAAGCGGCCAAGCGAAAGCAUUAAGUAUUCCACCUGGGGAGUACGCCGGCAACGGUGAAACUCAAAGGAAUUGACGGGG